GACUCCUCCAUGCUCCCCUCUAUGGCCCUCAUGGUGCUGUGCCAGUUGCUGACAAUGCUCCAAGGCUGUGACUGCUAUGUCCAGGCCAUAGAAGGAACUAUGGGACAUAACCAGAGCCCACUCAGUGGUGGGCAAGGUCCCAGGACAAGAGGGAACAGCAUAGGGCCUAGGAACAUAGGCCAGCCCAGUUCUCCGACCCCUGCAUUCCUGCCAACAAGGUAGGGGAUCCAGUGAGGAGCCCAUGUCCCAGACCUCCCAUUGUCCUACACCCAGUGUACCCCUAGGAGAGAAUCCUUGCCUUGGCAAAACAUCCCACAUAUUUCUUUCUUUCUUUUUUCUUUUUUUGCUUUUUAGGCCCACACUCAUGGCAUAUGGAGGUUCUAAGGCUAGGGGUCCAAUCAGAGCUGCAGCUGCCAGUCUACACCAUAGCUCACAGCAACACCGGAUCCUUAACCCACUGAGUGAGGCCACGGAUCGAACCUGCAACCUCAUGGUUCCUAGUCAGAUUUGAUUCCACUGAGCCACAAUGGGAACUCCAUAAGAGUAUUUCUUGAAGUUGUGGAUGAAAGAGCAAUGAACACUUUGUGCUGUCCCUUGGAACAAACCUGCUGCUUCCCUGCCACCCCACAGAGGGUCUGUCAGGGCAGCCUCACCCCUGCCAGUGGAUUUUGUGAGUGCCAUGCCCACCUUUGCACAACUGCUCCCAGUCUCCCCAGUACCCAUCCUGACAUUGGGAGCAUGUGAGACCCUCAAAUCCUUCCUGGCAGGGGCACUGCCCUGUGACCUGAAGGAGGAGAGCAUGGCCGGUCAGCAGAGACAAAGAGCCUCCUGUGGGGAGGGAGAAGGACAUGCGCACUCAGAGGCAGCACACAGUCCUCCUUUCAGCCCUACUCUUGCUUGGGCUGCACCCAAACCCCCGCUUGGCUGAAGGCUUCUCCCUUCCUGCUCCCUUUGGUCUGACUCCCUUUGGCCGGCCCCCACACUCCCACAUUGUCAGCCUCACCUCCCACAGACCAGCCCCUUGGGUUCUCAACUACUGACCUGCUCCUCUGUGUCCUGAGUCAAGCGCCCCACUGUCUCCACACCCUCACUCCCUGACUCCCACCCUCUCCUCACCAAGGACCCAAGGACACACUUCGGACUUCAUCUCCUUCAGUCACUGACCUCUCUUCUGGGAACACUUGCUUCUCAUGGCCAUCCAUCUCUGCUUCUACCAGCUCUCCAUCCUCACCCUCCACCCUGAAUCCUUCCACUCUGUCUCCUCAGCCUCCAUCCCAGUCCCACUCCUGCCCCACACCUGCCAUGCACAGUCGCCUUUGCUUGCUCUGACCCACUCACAGUGCUUCUCCUACACCUAAUGCGUGGCGGUAUGCAGGUUGGGCCCAUGUAGUCUCAUGCCUGCUCAUAGUUAAUGUCACACAAGAACACAGACACACGGCUGUCUGCAGCCAUACACAUCAGUGCUGGUGAUCAAUUAACACUUGCAUCAGCCAUAAAUCACACCCUGUCAUCAGACACACACUCACUUACACCUGGCCAUUGCCACAUGCUAUGGGCAACAUGGGCUCACUCACUGGGUGACACACCUGCUGCAAAAUGUGUUGCACAUGGCAGCUGCAGGGCUCGCAGCCCCGGGGCCUCCCCAGGUUCCGGAAGAGGUGGGUACAGUGGCUAAAGUCCUGCCCCAGCGUGUGGGGGCAGCAGGGGCACCACCUACUGACCUGGUUGCAAAAACAGGUUUCAGCCCCAGAUAGGCACCUUGCCCCAGGGGUCACAGCUGCAGCCAGGGGAGAAGAAGGGCUUGACAGGGUCUGAGGAAAGGGAGCCCACCCGCCCACCUUAGGAUGUCCUCACCCAUCCCACCCACACACUCACGCCUGGGUGCAGGGCACUGCUGUGGAAGCCAGGCCUGCAGUAAGCAUGGCCAGGGCUGUGGCUGUGGUACAGACAAUGCUGAUGCAGUGCCCACUGUGGGAGUUACAGGCACCCAGAUCAUGUGGAUCAAUGUUGUUGUUAUACUGGCAGGGCCAACAUGGACUCCUUCUGGCAUCUCCUCCUGGCCAAGGGAACCCAAAGGAGCAGAGGAGCAGUGGUCACAGUAGAGGCCUGGAGUGGGUUGGGAUAUGUGUGGAGGAUAUGCCUCAGGUGUUUUCCAGUACCUUUGGAGUCCCUGGAUCCCACUUAACCAGCCAGAAAGUCUGAGGUCCAUCCAGGAGGGCAGAGAAUACAACAGCUACAUUAUGGUCCACCUUUUUGGCUUACAAGUUCUAUGUCUAUAAUUCCUCAAGAACGGGGAGCUCCUUGAGGAGAGGUGCCUAGACUGCAGCCCAAGACACAGGAGGCACUGGCAAAGAUUUGCCUCCUAGACCUGAAGGGAUUGUGAACCAGACAGCAGGGCCAUGGGUUUGUCACAGCCAACUAUGCCUCACUUACAUAGCCAGGGGCACAGAGGCACAGAACACAUCCACUUGUGCUGCCACAUGUCAGGAAGUCCCAGGCUCAAGACAGAGGUAGGGCUGGCACUGCUGGCCUAAGCCCAGGGCGGGGUCUCUGUAGUAGCCAUCCAAGCACCUGGGGGCAGUAGCACAUGGAAUGGGGCCUCACUCUCUCAUCACAAUUCCUCCCCAAUUCUGCCAGUGCCAGCCUCACCUCUCACAGUGCCGGCCCGUGGUAGCUUAGUGGCGGUCCUGGGAGAAUGAAUAGGUGGAACAAAUCAGCAUGCCUGUUACAGGCACAUGGCUGACAGUGGGGGAAGCCCCACCAGCUGGGGAGGCAUUAGUCAGAGCAGUGACCAGCAAAGCCUGUCCAGUAUGUGCACUGUCCCCACACAGGGUUACAGAUGGCACUGUUGGCACCUUUGGUGUGGGAGUGACACUCUGAGAAAUGGCAGGGUGAGCAAGCCAUGCAGAGAAAGGAGAUGACUGGUCCCAGAUCACAUAUCCACUGGCCCUGAAGGCUCACCACUGCAGCUGGUGGGCCCGAAGCCACAUGGUCCAGGCAUGCAGUGGUCACAAACAUGACCAACAACAUUAGGACAGCAGGGGCACUGCCCACCCAGUAAGGCACACUCAGUGCUCAGUGAACCCUGGGGGUGGCAUUCACAUGUUGGCAGGAGAAAAGGCAAGACCAGAUGAACCUCAUGAUGCCUCCUGUAACCCCCAUCCUUCAUCACCCUCAAGUUAGGGCCACAUACUCACCAGGGCCACCCCCAUGGAGCAGUGCUGAGAUGCUGCAGAUGAGGCAGACCCAGGACUCAGGUAUGGUGCUGGAGAGGCUCACCCACACUGCCUCCAUGCAGCCCACCCUGUGGAGUUCCUGCAAUUGCCCAGUGGUGCCAGGGUCCACAGAUCUCAGUCCGGGCAACUCUUUCACCAGUGGCAGGAGCAUGAGCUAGUAAGAAGGCAGAGGGUGGUGGGUAGGGGCUAGUGGGCCCAGCUCCAUUCACUAACAUCUACACUGGAACUUCCUCAUGUGGCCCUCACAGUUCCUGCCUGACCCUUUCCUGUUUCUCUUUGAAGUCUGUUUUUCCUUCCCCUCCAAUGGCCCCAAUCUAGUCCAGGCAAUGUCACCUCUCACUCAGAAUCAUGGCAGCAGCCUCCCCCUAACAAUCCAUUCUCUCCAUCUUGUUCCUGCUCAAAUCCCUUCCUUUGAGGUCUGGUCCCUGCCUGUCUCACAGUCUAUCCUUGGCAUGUGCUUCUCCCCUGCAUGGAUAUCCCUUCCUACACUCUUCAUCUGCCUCAAUCUUCUUGGUGUAACUCUAGGCCUCCAUGACCCCCUGUCCCUUGGACCCAUGGCAUCCAUAUUGUCCUAUCAUUUUUGUACCCCCAGAGGUGGAGUGAAGCCCCUAGGAUCUCACUGAAUCCAGAAGGAUGGUGCUGCCACCACCCCACCCCCAGGUCUCCACACCCCCUUGGUCUGCCACAGCUGCAGGGUCAUGGAGUAGCAUGUUCCAGGUUCGAAGCAGAAAGUCUGGAUAGAACUACAGCUCUGCAGGGAGGGAGGAGAGGAGUAAGGGUGGGGUAAGGAGGUCAUGAUCAUGUGGUCCCAGGAAUACCCAUUUCCAUUGUGCAGAUAUGGGGCCCAACAUUUUAUCAUACAACUAAUGGAAAAAGACCAACUUCUUAAACCCUGUUUUUGUUUUUGUUUUUUUUUAGGGCCACAGCAUAUAGAGGUUUCCAGGCUAGAGGUCGAAUCAGAGCCAUGGCUGCCAACCUACACCAUAGCCAUGCCAGAUCUGAGCUGCAUUCUCUUGCAGCAAUGCUGGAUGCUUAACCCACUGAGUGAAGCCAAGGAUCAAACCCAUAUCCUCGUGGAUACUAGUCAGGUUCUUAGCCAGCUGAACCACAAUGGGAACUCCCUGCUCUGUUUUAAAUUAGGCCUUUGUGUGAUUGUUCUAUGACAUGAUGCUGUACCAUGUUGGGUGUUCUCCACUUUGGGUAACGUUCCAAAUGUGUUGGCUAUGUAGUAGGGUCUUGGUACUAGGGGUCACAGGGUGUGGCCUACCUGUGUACAUGGGUUAAGGCUGCCUGAAACAACUGCUCUGAGGGCAGCAGAUGGGCACAUCAGGUACUGGGCUGGGAUUGGGCACAGGCACUAACGCCUGCCAGUCUUCAGAUGCCUAGGCUUAGGGGUCAGCAAUCAUAGAGCUGCCCCUACCCACCACCCAGAACCACUCAUCCACUUGCCUGGUACCCACUGACCUGGGUCUCUUAGCGCAGGACAAUGUCGUACUCCAGGAUACGAGGCACUGUGGGUGCCAGCAGAGAGAGGCCGGUGCCAUCAACCACAUGUGCAAAGUCCGAGCCAGUCCACAGUGGGGAGCCAGCUCCCAGAUACAGGGGCAGAGGCCCCUUUGGGGCCUGGAUAUGAGGCACAAACUCCCAGGCCCAGAGCACUCCAGGACCUAGGACUCUCAGGAUUUAGGUUCCCAUUCCUCUAAGACUUCAGAAACCCAAAUCCCCAGGGCUUGGGCCCCAUCCUUACUAAGACCUAGUGACCUGUGACCCAACCCUGUUCCUCAGACUCCUCACCUUGGGCAGCUAUUGACUAUAACGGGCUCACUUGGCAGAACGGAGGACACAUUCAGGGUCACGCUGUCUCUGAAGUUGGGGCCUGAGCCAACUGGGGGAAGUCUCUGGGGCUUGUGUACAGUGGGGAGGAGCAGGCCAGGGGGCUCCCUGGGGGCAUUCAGGUGUCAGUGUCCUCCAACAUCCUAGCCCUGUCCUCUUCCACCCUACUCUGGGGAUAUGGGCUCUUUCCAAGACACCAAUCUUCUAACCAUGCUGAUACCACCCUAUCUGGACUUGCCUCAUCUUCCUAACCCUGUCCAGCCUCUUCUACCAACCAGCUCACUCUGGACACUC
This 5363-nucleotide long non-coding RNA is filed under the name Sus scrofa (pig). RNAcentral's name for it is "lncRNA (ENSSSCG00030048534.1)". Lineage: Eukaryota; Metazoa; Chordata; Mammalia; Artiodactyla; Suidae. The record is from RNAcentral.